This 433-nucleotide ribosomal RNA is filed under the name uncultured bacterium. RNAcentral describes it as "partial 16S ribosomal RNA". It matches the Rfam family "Bacterial small subunit ribosomal RNA", at positions 29 to 507 of the family's 1533-position model. The record is from RNAcentral.
AACGAACGCUGGCGGCAGGCUUAACACAUGCAAGUCGAACGGAUCCUUCGGGAUUAGUGGCAGACGGGUGAGUAACGCGUGGGAACGUACCCUUUGCUACGGAAUAACUCAGGGAAACUUGAGCUAAUACCGUAUGUGCCCUACGGGGGAAAGAUUUAUCGGCAAAGGAUCGGCCCGCGUUGGAUUAGCUAGUUGGUGGGGUAAUGGCCUACCAAGGCGACGAUCCAUAGCUGGUCUGAGAGGAUGAUCAGCCACACUGGGACUGAGACACGGCCCAGACUCCUACGGGAGGCAGCAGUGGGGAAUAUUGGACAAUGGGCGCAAGACUGAUCCAGCCAUGCCGCGUGAGUGAUGAAGGUCUUAGGAUUGUAAAGCUCUUUCACCGGUGAAGAUAAUGACGGUAGCCGGAGAAGAAGCCCCGGCUAACUUCGUG